RNAcentral lists this ribosomal RNA (460 nucleotides) under uncultured bacterium. Its description in RNAcentral is "partial 16S ribosomal RNA". It matches the Rfam family "Bacterial small subunit ribosomal RNA", at positions 338 to 795 of the family's 1533-position model. The record is from RNAcentral.
CCUACGGGUGGCAGUAGUGAGGAAUAUUGGUCAAUGGCCGGGAGGCUGAACCAGCCAAGUCGCGUGAGGGAAGACGGCCCUACGGGUUGUAAACCUCUUUUGUCAGGGAGCAAGGUGCAGGUCGGGACCUGCUGUGAGAGUACCUGAAGAAAAAGCAUCGGCUAACUCCGUGCCAGCAGCCGCGGUAAUACGGAGGAUGCGAGCGUUAUCCGGAUUUAUUGGGUUUAAAGGGAGCGUAGGCCGGUCUUUAAGCGUGCCGUGAAAUUUUGUGGCUCAACCAUGAGAGUGCGGCGCGAACUGGAGACCUUGAGUGCGCGGAAGGCAGGCGGAAUUCGUGGUGUAGCGGUGAAAUGCUUAGAUAUCACGAAGAACCCCGAUUGCGAAGGCAGCCUGCCGCAGCGUUACUGACGCUGAAGCUCGAAAGCGCGGGUAUCGAACAGGAUUAGAUACCCGAGUAGUC